UUCCCUGUAGCGCAAUGGAUAGCUCGUUGGACUUCAAAUCCAAAGGUUGUAGGUUUGAACCCCACCUGGGAUG
Non-coding RNA from Trichonephila inaurata madagascariensis, 73 nucleotides. NCBI's taxonomy places the organism in Eukaryota, Metazoa, Arthropoda, Arachnida, Araneae, Nephilidae. The record is from the annotation of a GenBank genome assembly.